AGAGUUUGAUCCUGGCUCAGGAUGAACGCUGGCAGCGUGGAUAAGGCAUGCAAGUCGAGCGGGUUUAGACCCGCGGCAAACGGGUUAGUAAUGCGUAGGAAACCUACCUGGAAGUGGGGCAUAAUUCGCCGAAAGGCGAAAUAAUUCCCCAUGUGCUAGCACAUGUUGUUUGUUCUCAACUUUUUCCGAGAAUAAGCAUCAUGUGCUAGGAAAGAUUUAUCGCUUUCAGAUGGUCCUGCGUCCUAUCAGCUUGUAGGUGGGGUAAUAGCCCACCUAGGCUACGACGGGUAGGGGGUGUGAGAGCAUGACCCCCAACAUUGGAACUGCGACACUGUCCAAACACCUACGGGUGGCUGCAGUCGAGAAUCUUCGGCAAUGGGCGAAAGCCUGACCGAGCGACGCUGCGUGCAGGAAGAAGGCCUUCGGGUUGUAAACUGCUGUCGUGUGGGAAGAACUUUGACGGUACCACACAAGAAAGAGGCACCUAACUCUGUGCCAGCAGGUGCGGUAAUACAGAGGCCUCGAGCGUUAUCCGGAAUUAUUGGGCGUAAAGCGUCUGUAGGCGGGAAAGUGCGUCAACUGUUAAAUCCUAGGGCUCAACCCUAUGGGCUGCAGUUGAUACGGCUUUUCUAGAGGCAGGGAGAGGUAAGCGGAACUUCUGGUGGAGCGGUGAAAUGCGUUGAUAUCAGAGGGAACACCAAUUGCGAAGGCAGCUUACUGGUCCUGUCCUGACGCUGAGAGACGAAAGCGUGGGGAGUGAAUGGGAUUAGAUACCCCAGUAAUCCACGCCGUAAACGAUGCCGACUAGGCAUUGGGAGUAUCGACCCUCUCAGUGUCGAAGCUAACGCGUUAAGUCGGCCGCCUGGGUAGUACGAGCGCAAGCUUAAAACUCAAAGGAAUAGACGGGAGCCCGCACAAGCGGUGGAGCGUGUGGUUUAAUUCGAUGCUAAGCGAGGAACCUUACCAGGGCUUGAAAUUGAGCUGCUAACCCCCAGAAACGGGGGCUCCUUCGAGGGUGCUCAACAGGCGCUGCAUGGUUGCCGUCAGCUCGUGCCGUGAGGUGUUCCCUUUAGUGGGGUAACGAGCGCAACCCUCGUCGUAUGUUGCUUUUCAUGCGAGACUGCCGUGGCUAACACGGAGGAAGGUGGGGAUGACGUCAAAUCAGCAUGGCCCUCUGACGCCCUGGGCGACACACGCGCUACAAUGGCUGGGACAACGAGCUUUGUGCUAACCCGUGAGGGGGAGCGAAUCUUUAAACCCAGUCUCAGUUCGAAUUGGAGUCUGCAACUCGACUCCAUGAAGUUGGAAUCGCUAGUAACCGCAGAUCAGCCACGCUGCGGUGAAUACGUUCUCGGGCUUUGUACUCACCGCCCGUCAACUCAGAAAAGCUGACAGUACCCGAAGAACCGGCAUUCGUCGGUGCCACGGUAAGGUCAGUGAUUAGGAGUAAGUCGUAACAAGGUA
RNAcentral lists this ribosomal RNA (1464 nucleotides) under uncultured deep-sea bacterium. RNAcentral describes it as "bacterial SSU rRNA". It matches the Rfam family "Bacterial small subunit ribosomal RNA". The record is from RNAcentral.